RNAcentral lists this ribosomal RNA (270 nucleotides) under uncultured bacterium. RNAcentral's name for it is "partial 16S ribosomal RNA". It matches the Rfam family "Bacterial small subunit ribosomal RNA", at positions 524 to 794 of the family's 1533-position model. The record is from RNAcentral.
UACGUAGGUGGCAAGCGUUGUCCGGAAUUAUUGGGCGUAAAGCGCGCGCAGGCGGCUAUGUAAGUCUGGUGUUAAAGCCCGGGGCUCAACCCCGGUUCGCAUCGGAAACUGCGUAGCUUGAGUGCAGAAGAGGAAAGCGGUAUUCCACGUGUAGCGGUGAAAUGCGUAGAGAUGUGGAGGAACACCAGUGGCGAAGGCGGCUUUCUGGUCUGUAACUGACGCUGAGGCGCGAAAGCGUGGGGAGCAAACAGGAUUAGAUACCCUUGUAGU